GGUUGUGAUUGGUUGAUGGUCUCAAACGAGAUUGUCCGAUUGAAUUGUAACCAUCUUCGAGGUAAUUGUGUUGUGUCAUUCAGUUGAUGGAGCAUCAUUUCUCGUCGUUUACUGUGAGCAAAAUAGAGUGUUCAAAGCAGGCUUAUGCCGUUGAAUACAUUAGCAUGGAAUAAUAAGAUAAGACCUUGGUCUAUUUUGUUGGUUUAUGUUCCAAGGUA
Molecule: ribosomal RNA, 218 nt
Filed under: uncultured fungus
Lineage: Eukaryota; Fungi
Description: partial small subunit ribosomal RNA
Rfam family: Eukaryotic small subunit ribosomal RNA
Source: RNAcentral